GACAGAGGGUGCAACCGUUGUUCGGAAUUACUGGGCGUAAAGCGCGUGUAGGCGGCUAUGCAAGUCGGGCGUGAAAUCCCACGGCUCAACCGUGGAAGUGCACUCGAAACUGCGUAGCUAGAGUCUCGGAGAGGAAGGUGGAAUACUUGGUGUAGAGGUGAAAUUCGUAGAUAUCAAGUGGAACACCGGUGGCGAAGGCGGCCUUCUGGACGAUGACUGACGCUGAGACGCGAAAGCGUGGGGAGCAAACAGG
This 253-nucleotide ribosomal RNA is filed under the name uncultured bacterium. RNAcentral describes it as "partial 16S ribosomal RNA". It matches the Rfam family "Bacterial small subunit ribosomal RNA", at positions 524 to 776 of the family's 1533-position model. The record is from RNAcentral.